This 253-nucleotide ribosomal RNA is filed under the name uncultured bacterium. RNAcentral describes it as "partial 16S ribosomal RNA". It matches the Rfam family "Bacterial small subunit ribosomal RNA", at positions 524 to 776 of the family's 1533-position model. The record is from RNAcentral.
GACGUAGGGUGCGAGCGUUGUCCGGAUUUAUUGGGCGUAAAGAGCUCGUAGGCGGCCUGUCGCGUCGACUGUGAAAACCCGCAGCUUAACUGCGGGACUGCAGUCGAUACGGGCAGGCUAGAGUUCGGUAGGGGAGACUGGAAUUCCUGGUGUAGCGGUGAAAUGCGCAGAUAUCAGGAGGAACACCGGUGGCGAAGGCGGGUCUCUGGGCCGAUACUGACGCUGAGGAGCGAAAGCGUGGGGAGCGAACAGG